Drosophila simulans is the source of this 1507-nucleotide long non-coding RNA. RefSeq lists it as uncharacterized. NCBI's taxonomy places the organism in Eukaryota, Metazoa, Arthropoda, Insecta, Diptera, Drosophilidae. The record is from RefSeq and is a predicted model, not a curated record. The transcript is spliced from 3 exons.
UGGGAGCAAGUGGCACCUGUGCCUGGCUUCCUACAUCGCUGGCACUCCCACACAAGUAUUUGUCUUUGGCAUUUGCCAUUCGCCAGUUGGUAGCGAUGACUUUCCUUUGCAUUUUCUUUGUGCCGCUCCUCGGAUCUCCACCCCUUGCGUUUUCCCAGCUUUCCCAGUUUGCCCAAGAGCUUAGUGCUCCCAGCCGAGUGCAGUUCCUUCCCAGUUUGGCCUGUUUUUAUCGGGGCAAAGGUAUAGCGAUAUGGCGACGGUGCCAGACUCGCCCGGAUCACUGCCGGAUUAUAGUGACAAUUCAGAGCCAAUGCGAUAAGCGAUUAAGCCACCGAUCAGCCGGCGGAUGAGGAAGAAGCUUACCCUGCGCGGAUUACCCAAGGAUUCGUGAUAAGACAGUACAUUGGCCCCUUAAGCCAAGUCGGAAAUCGGGGAAUCGGUGGCUAAUUGCUCAGCCAUUGUCCAAACAAUGACGCAGUUGAAUCGAGGAAAACCCGUCGAGCACUUGAUUUAAUUAGCCCUAAUGACCGCCGACCGUCAUCACCCUUUACCAACGCAACUCAAAAGCAAUCGAGCAGCUAAGUCAUGGCGGUAAUUGCCUAGAACCAGAAUUUUAGCUCAGAUUGGACAGCAUUACCUGUCGCGUUCCCAGGCGAACGCUGCUACCUGGUCGCCCCGCCCCCUUUUUUGCCCUUUUUGGACCAACGCCCCCGCCCAUGGACCACUGUCAAUGUCUUUCCUUUCGGACUGCUACAAUUUUAAUGCGUGUCCGCUGCGUCAAACGGCAUAAUAAAGCAGAGGCGGCGGAUGAGGAUGCGGAUGAGGAUGAGGAUGCGUAUGGAGGAAGAGGAGGGGUCCACCGGCAGUGGCUAGAGAAUGGAAAACUAAAUGCAUGCAUGCGUGCGUCUUUUAUAUUGAAAUAAAAUAGCAUAAAAAUGGGCAACUAAUGAAUUUUCACAGCGAUUCCUGCGGGAAUCGACCUUCGGUCCACUUCACUUCUGUUCCGUUUCGAUAUUCCCCGCUUCCAUCCUCGUACACGGCGCAAAAAUAUGUAUAACAUUGUGAAAAAAAUACUCAUAAAUUACGCUCCUCACAUUACAGAACAACCUUACAUUGCAAAUGUAAUUUGACUUGAGCAAUGGUAGCUGGAAAUAAAAUUGGAAAUAUAUUUGAAGGCACUAUCAUUUGUUUACGGUGUACUCUGUGCUGCCACUCAAAGAAGCCACAAAUAUACAGAGAAAGAAAAUGCGGCGGAGAGUGGGCGCUGCAGAGGUGGUAUUCACGUUAAUCGCCAAAACCCGAACCCCAUUCAAGGAAACAAAAAGAGACAUAGUCCAACCCCACCCAGAAACCACCCACUAGGCAAACAAAAGGAAACUCAAACCGCAGCACUCGACCACCCACCGCCCACCACCCCCUGGCGAAGGCUAUUCAAGCAAAUGUUGUAUGAAUGUAAUUCAAUACUUUUUCAAUCUUGUUGCCGUUGCCGGUUACUUUUGCCACGAUG